UCCUACGGGAGGCAGCAGUAGGGAAUCUUGCGCAAUGGGCGAAAGCCUGACGCAGCCAUGCCGCGUGAAUGAUGAAGGUCUUAGGAUUGUAAAAUUCUUUCACCGGGGACGAUAAUGACGGUACCCGGAGAAGAAGCCCCGGCUAACUUCGUGCCAGCAGCCGCGGUAAUACGAAGGGGGCUAGCGUUGCUCGGAAUUACUGGGCGUAAAGGGCGCGUAGGCGGAUAGUUUAGUCAGAGGUAAAAGCCCAGGGCUCAACCUUGGAACUGCCUUUGAUACUGGCUAUCUUGAGUACGGGAGAGGUGUGUGGAACUCCGAGUGUAGAGGUGAAAUUCGUAGAUAUUCGGAAGAACACCAGUGGCGAAGGCGACACACUGGCCCGUUACUGACGCUGAGGCGCGAAAGCGUGGGGAGCAAACAGGAUUAGAUACCCUGGUAGUCCACGCCGUAAACGAUGAGUGCUAGUUGUCGGCGUGCAUGCAUGUCGGUGACGCAGCUAACGCAUUAAGCACUCCGCCUGGGGAGUACGGUCGCAAGAUUAAAACUCAAAUGAAUUGACGG
This 561-nucleotide ribosomal RNA is filed under the name uncultured soil bacterium. Its description in RNAcentral is "bacterial SSU rRNA". It matches the Rfam family "Bacterial small subunit ribosomal RNA", at positions 337 to 916 of the family's 1533-position model. The record is from RNAcentral.